RNAcentral lists this ribosomal RNA (511 nucleotides) under Heterodrilus flexuosus. RNAcentral describes it as "partial 16S ribosomal RNA". It matches the Rfam family "Bacterial large subunit ribosomal RNA", at positions 1801 to 2613 of the family's 2925-position model. The record is from RNAcentral. Lineage: Eukaryota; Metazoa; Annelida; Clitellata; Tubificida; Naididae.
UGUUUAUCAAAAACAUUGUCAUAGGACACCUCCUCUAUGAUAAGCCCUGCCCAAUGAUACUUAAUGGCUGCGGUAUCCUAACCGUACUAAGGUAGCAUAAUAAUUUGUCUAAUAAUUGUAGUCUAGAAUGAAGGGGUAAACGCAUGCACCACUGUCUCAGCUGUAACUAUAAAAAUUAUCCUUUAGGUGAAAAGACCUAAAUAUAAAUAAAGGACAAGAAGACCCUACAGAGCUUUAUUCUUAGCUAUUAAUAUAAACUAACUAUGAAUUUGGAUGGGGCGUCCCGAGAGUAACCCAACCUCUCCAUUCCACCAAGAAUAACCCCUCACCACUACAACCUCCACAAUGAAUAAAGAAAAGUUACCUUAGGGAUAACAGGCUAAUACUUCUCCAGAGCCCAUAUUUACAGAAGUGUUUGGCACCUCGAUGUUGGCUUAGGGUUCGACUACGAUGCAGCAAUCGUAAACUCCUAGUUUGUUCAACUAUAAAACCCCUACGUGAUCUGAGUUCA